Molecule: ribosomal RNA, 377 nt
Filed under: uncultured Thermovirga sp.
Lineage: Bacteria; Thermotogati; Synergistota; Synergistia; Synergistales; Thermovirgaceae
Description: bacterial SSU rRNA
Rfam family: Bacterial small subunit ribosomal RNA
Source: RNAcentral
CCCGACUGCUUCGGUAGUGGGAGCGUACACAGGUGCUGCAUGGCUGUCGUCAGCUCGUGUCGUGAGAUGCUGGGUUAAGUCCCGCAACGAGCGCAACCCUGCAUCCAGUUGCCAUCGGGCGAGCCGGGCACUCUGGAGGGACUGCCGGCGACAAGCCGGAGGAAGGUGGGGAUGACGUCAAGUCAUCAUGGCCCUUAUGUCCAGGGCGACACACGUGCUACAAUGGCCGGCACAGCGGGAAGCGGAGGGGCGACCCUGAGCGGAUCCCCUGAAAGCCGGUCCCAGUUCGGAUUGCAGUCUGCAACUCGACUGCAUGAAGUUGGAAUCGCUAGUAAUCGCGGAUCAGCCAAGCCGCGGUGAAUACGUUCCCGGGCCUU